RNAcentral lists this long non-coding RNA (2719 nucleotides) under Homo sapiens (human). RNAcentral's name for it is "HSALNT0022045". Lineage: Eukaryota; Metazoa; Chordata; Mammalia; Primates; Hominidae. The record is from RNAcentral.
CCGCGCGGCAACGCAGGGGCGGAACCGCAUGACUGGCAGUGGCAUCAGCGAUGGCGGCUGCGUCGGGGUCGGUUCUGCAGCGCUGUAUCGUGUCGCCGGCAGGGAGGCAUAGCGCCUCUCUGAUCUUCCUGCAUGGCUCAGGUGGAUUUCAAUUUUACGUCCUGGUUUUCUACAGCUCGGGAAACAUUUUAUGACAAACCCACAGCCAGUAUCAUACUGAAUGGACAAAAGCUGUAACCAUUCCCCUUGAAAUCCAGCUCAAGACAAAGAUGCUCUCUCUCACCACUUCUAUUCAACCCCACCCUUGGUAAUUUCUAUCUUUUCUCAUUUUAGCACUUGUUGUUUUGCUUUAGUGGUAUGCACUGUGCUUUAAUUAACAUUUCGCUGAUAACUAGUGAAACUGAACACUUAUUUGCGUGUUGAUAGACAUUGGGAUAUUUACUUUUCUAAAGUGUCUGCUCAUAUCUUUUGUCCAUUUCCCAUUUGCUUUUUGUUUGUUUAAUUGUAAGAAUUUUAAAGAUCAUAAUCUGAGUUUAUUGUUGCACAGACUGGUGACAUAUAGUCUCCCAUUCUUUGCUUUUUCACUCUCUUUGUGGUGUCUUGAUAAAUUAAGAAACUACUAAUGUUAAUUUAAGCCAAUUUAUUAAUUUUCUUGUUUAUGUUUAGCAUCUUUUGAGUAGCACCAGUGGUGUUAAGGAAAUAUUUUUGUCUACACCAAAGUCACAAAGUUAUUCUUCUGUGUUUAAAAGCUUAAGUAUAUUACUCUUUAGAUCUAUAUUCUAUAUAAUUUGAUUUUUGUAUAUGGUAUAGAAGGAAUCAAGAUUCACUUUUUUCUGUAUGGAUAUUCAACUUACAUAGAACCAUUUACUGAAAUGAUUACCCUUUCCCUACCACACUGCCCUGUUACCCUUGUUGUAAUCUUGUGACCACAUAUCUGUGUUUGUUUCUAUUCCCUCUGUUCUUUUGGCCUAUUCUUGAAGCGAUGGCUCAAAGCAUUAAUUAGUAUCAUUUUAUAAUAAGUCUUGAGGCCUUGUGGCAUAAGUCUUGGCAUUGUAUUUCAUUUUUAUUUUAAAGAGAGGAAGCUGUCUCCCCUCACCUGUAACUGCUGUGUUUACACAGAUGGUGUGCUCUGAAAAGCCUUGCUUUCAGUUGAUAAGGAAACUAAAAUUUAACCAAGACCUUUGAUUAGCUGAUUUAUCAAGUUGAAGCUUGAUAUGUGUGGAUUUGAUCCUGCCAUCAUGAUGUUAACUGGUUAUUAUGCAGACUUGUUUAUGUGGUUGCUUUAUGGUGUCACUGGUUCAUGUAUUUAUUUGUGUUUUUAUAGUGGCUGGUAACAAUCUUUCCUUUCUAUAUUUAGUGCUUCUUCAGAAGCUCUUGAAAGGCAGGUCUGGUGCUAUAAUGUGGGCCCCCAGGCACCCGAGGCUGCUCUGCACACAAACACAGACAAGGUGGGGUCCCAGGAGAGGCCAGGACUAAGGGGUGCUCAGGUCGGUCAGACCAGCCCCAUCUGAUGAGCAAGACUGCCCAGUAGAGUUCAGGUCCGACAGUUCUGCUAGGGUUAAAGUCUCCUAUUGGAGCAAGUUAAGCCCAGGGGUUUGGCCAUCCCUAGCCAUGCUCUGCUACAGAUGCUCCCACACCAAACCCGCUGGUCUCUACAUCAGCUGGCUUGCUGACCCUACCACUUCUCUAAGCAGCUCUCCCUGCCAACUGGAGUGUCUGUGGUGGUCAAGGGGUCUCUUCCUGCAGGGAUUCCAGAGGUCCAAGGUAAGAGCAUGUUGCUUCUUGCCAGUUCCACUCACCUAUUUCCCCAGAGUCACUGGGGACCAGGAAUGAGUCCUGAUGCACAGUAUCGUCGUGCGGGGUUCCCAGCUUCCUUCCCCUUCAGCCCAGCUUCUGCAUCUUCCCUCUGACCACUCUCAGUGCCUUCCUGAUGAAGAUCUGUUAGGAGUGCACCAGUUGUCUCAGCCCUUUGGUGGCAGCUGUUCCAUGUGGCAGCAUCUAGUUGGCCAUCUUGCCCUUUCUCAAUGUAAAUUUUUGUUUAAAUAUCUCCUUUUUCAUACUACAACUAUUGUUAAAGAAUGUGUCACCCAGAGUGAUAAAUCUAUGGAAGCAAAGCAAAUAUCAUCAAUAAGAAAUUCUGUAGCCUCCAAUGCCUGAUUUCACCCAGGCAGUAAACUCAUGGCAAAGCUGUGUGCCCUAUCUAUCUAUCUAUCUGUCUAUCUAUCUUUUUUUUUUUUUUGAGACAGAGUCUUGCUGUGUUGCCCAGGCUGGAAUGCAGUGGAACGAUCUCAGCUCACUGCAACCUCUGUCUCCCAGGUUCAAAUGAUUCUUGUAUCUAGCCUCUCGAGUAGCUGGGAUUACAGGUGGUCACCACCACACCCAGCUAAUUUUUGUAUUAUUAGUACAGACAGGGUGGGGUUUCACCAUUUUGGCCAGGCUGGUCUUGAACUCCUGACCUCAAGUUAUCCACCUGCCUCAACCUCCUAGAGUGCCGGGAUUAUAGGCAUGAGCCACUGCACCCGGCCUGUCUAUCAUCUAUCUAUCUAUCUGUCUGCCUAUCUAGCUAUCUAUCUAAUGAUUGGAAUAUUCAAAGUUUAUUAAAAAGCAUGCUGGAAAAUUUCACUCUACUGCAAAACACACCAUCUCUUUAUUUUUCCCAUAUCCAAUAAAAAAGGGUUUGAUGAAUAUUCUCAAUUACCUUGUAUCUCAGUCUAUAUCU